This 301-nucleotide ribosomal RNA is filed under the name uncultured bacterium. RNAcentral's name for it is "partial 16S ribosomal RNA". It matches the Rfam family "Bacterial small subunit ribosomal RNA", at positions 509 to 807 of the family's 1533-position model. The record is from RNAcentral.
CAGCAGCCGCGGUAAUACGUAGGUGGCAAGCGUUGUCCGGAAUUAUUGGGCGUAAAGGGCUCGCAGGCGGUUCCUUAAGUCUGAUGUGAAAGCCCCCGGCUCAACCGGGGAGGGUCAUUGGAAACUGGGAAACUUGAGUGCAGAAGAGGAGAGUGGAAUUCCACGUGUAGCGGUGAAAUGCGUAGAGAUGUGGAGGAACACCAGUGGCGAAGGCGACUCUCUGGUCUGUAACUGACGCUGAGGAGCGAAAGCGUGGGGAGCGAACAGGAUUAGAUACCCCUGUAGUCCCUGUCUCUUAUAC